This 1312-nucleotide long non-coding RNA is filed under the name Musa acuminata (dwarf banana). RNAcentral's name for it is "long non-coding RNA (MACU_LNC011809)". Lineage: Eukaryota; Viridiplantae; Streptophyta; Magnoliopsida; Zingiberales; Musaceae. The record is from RNAcentral.
ACAAGAAGAAGAACAGUUGUGAGUUCUUCUGAGUUCUGAAUGCAUGCUUCGGUUCAAAGUUGGUUCUUAUUGAUAAGAACAAGAAGAAGAAGAACAGUUGUGAGUUCUUCUGCAUGCAUGCAUGCAUGCUUCGGUUCAAAGUUGGUUCUUAUCGAUAAGAACAAAAAGAAAAAGAACAGUUGUGAGUUCUUCUGCAUGCAUGUUUCGGUUCAAAGUUGAUUCUUAUCGAUAAGAACAAGAAGAAAAAGAAGCAUGCAUGCUUGGGUUCAAAGUUGGUUCGUAUCGAUAAGAACAAGAAGAAGAAGAACAGUUGUGAGUUCUUCUGCAUGCAUGCUUGCUUGGGUUCAAAGUUGGUUCUUAUCGAUAAGAAGAAGAAGAAGAAGAACGGCUGUGAGUUCUUCUGCAUGCAUGUUUGGGUUCAAACUUCUAUCAGCUCUGAACUGUGUGUAAUGGUCAGGUUGUUCUCUUUAGGCUGCUGCUGUAUAUUCUCGUCAUUGAUUUCUUCGGUCAUCCGAAGAAGAAGAAGAAGGACCUCGUAGGGUUUGCCACCGGAGCCGCCCGCCGUAGUGGUUGGUGUAGGUCUUGCCAUGGAGGGUGAAGGUGAUCUCUAUAGCGUCGAUGCUGUCGCCGGCGCGAAUCUUGAUGGUGGAGAUGCGGUCGGAGGGGCCCAUGUCCCAUGCCGACCCUCCGUUCCCUCCCCACGGCCCCACCUUGAUCUCUCCGUUCUGCAUCAUCAUCACCCAACACAAAACCCUAAUAAUUCACAGUGGAGCUCACCAUUUCUCCUAUGGAGAUGGGAACGUAUAUGUACUCCUUCCUUUCCUCCCUUCUUCCUCGUGGCUUUGGGAUGGGAAGGGGGGCUCUAUAUAGCUGAUUAAUGUGGAGGUCGAUCAUGGUCUUAUCCCAAUCGGGUCCAUUGCAAGCAAGGUCGUGUGGCUUUUCUUUGUCGGGUGGGCACAUCGACACCUCCCACGAGGAAAACGAGUCUGUCGUGAUGAGGUCUAUGCAUCCAUGUCGACGGUUCUAGAAAUAAUAAGACGUGGAUUGUGUUCCACUGACAUACCCACUUCUACCCUACGAUGAUUCGGACAUUUUAAUUCAUCCUAUCAACUUCAUACCCAACCGUGAUUGUUGUAAUGUAUAGAUUGGCAACGUUGUGAGAACUUUCUUUUCUUUCUUUUUUCUUAGGACUUGGCUGACUUCACUUGUUUAUUAUUAUACUAUUUAUAUUUUAAAUAAGGUCAGAUUUUUGGUCAUCCAUCUUUGUCGAAAAAUUAGAACUAAAUUAAUAUAUUCCCCAAAUAAUAAUGGC